AUGGCAUCCCAGGUGAAGAGGGGCGCGACGGCGUCGUCGUCGAGGAGAUUCUGGCGGAACGAGAGUUUGCGGAGGCGAGGGAGGUGGCCGAUCCGGGGGUCGACUGCGGUGAGACGGUUCGCCGUAAGGUCCAGCUCCUCCAGGGUGGGCGGGAUCUCCACCUCACUCAGAUCGUGCAGCUGGCAGCUCGUGAGGUCGAGGCACAACUCCACCUCCGGCACCUCCAUCCCUGCCCCCGCAGCGUUCGAAUCUCCGGUGCCUUCGCCGGAGGCCAUGGGGGAUCGGGCCUGGACUUUCAGGGAGCUUCUGGAAGAAGCAAAGGGGAGAAGAAGAAGAAUAUGCCGGAUGGGGGCCUAA
This 357-nucleotide ribosomal RNA is filed under the name Triticum aestivum (bread wheat). RNAcentral describes it as "partial small subunit ribosomal RNA". The record is from RNAcentral. Lineage: Eukaryota; Viridiplantae; Streptophyta; Magnoliopsida; Poales; Poaceae.